This 786-nucleotide long non-coding RNA is filed under the name Homo sapiens (human). RNAcentral's name for it is "non-protein coding LINC01023:5". The record is from RNAcentral. Lineage: Eukaryota; Metazoa; Chordata; Mammalia; Primates; Hominidae.
GCGGCGUCGGGUUGGAAAACCAGGAGAGCAUGGAGCUUUUUCGCUGGUCCGGCGCGGUCUCUUGCGUUCCUGUGGCGGGCACCUGACUCCCCAUGCCCGAGUACUGUCCUCAGGCGGAACGGCGUCUGCAGCGAGGAGCGGGGUUCCAGCAGGCUCGGCUGACGCGGUCCCUGGCAUUUCCCGUGCUGGCCCUGGGUCGCCCUCGAUGCUGCUUCCCGCUGGGAGCCUCCUUCUGACGGCGGAAAGGAGCUUCACCUGGGGCGGCCGGCGGGGAACGGAGAAGAAUCCACCGGGGAAGUGGACGGGGCUGGCUCCCGGGCCUGGCGCUGCGGCUCUCGGGCCGUCAGACCUCCCGCGGGUUGCGUCACUUUCCUCGGUUUUCUAGACAGCAGUUGUGGGGUUGAAUCCUUGCCGUGGUUUUGUAAGAAUUAAAUGAGAUAAUGAACGCGAACACCAAUCAUUGCUCUUUGUUGGGUGCUUCCUGUGGGCCUGGCAAUAUUAACAACACGAGCUCAUUCAUGCAUUCAUUUGCUACUCAGUGACUUUCCUGUCAAUACUGCAAGGUGCUGGAGAUGAGCCCCCACUCUUUGGUCAGUAAAACUGCCAAGAUCACCGACCUUGUGAAGACAUUUGAGGAUGAGAGGUUGGUUGGAGCCUGGACGUGGAGACAGACUCUAAAUAGUUAACUACAAGACACAUAGACAGGGUCUCAAUCUGCCACCCAGCCUGGAGUGCACUGGCACCAUCAUAGCUCACUGCUGAUUCAAACUCCUAGGCUCAAGCAAC